RNAcentral lists this ribosomal RNA (1662 nucleotides) under Triticum aestivum (bread wheat). RNAcentral describes it as "partial small subunit ribosomal RNA". The record is from RNAcentral. Lineage: Eukaryota; Viridiplantae; Streptophyta; Magnoliopsida; Poales; Poaceae.
AUGGGCGUAGUCAGCACGGUGCUUGGUCUCUUUGGAUUUGGCUUUGGAUUCUCUUCUGGUAUUGUUAUCGGUUACUAUUUCUUCAUAUACUUCCAGCCAACGGAUGUCAAGGACGUCGAAGUUCGCCCACUUGUGGAAUAUGACUCAAAUUCUUUGGACGGAAUCCUUCCUGAAAUUCCUAUGUGGGUCAAGAAUCCUGACUAUGAUAGAGUUGAUUGGCUCAACAGGUUUCUGGAAUUGAUGUGGCCCAAUCUUAACAAGGCUAUCUGCAGAAUGGCGCAGGAUAUUGCAAAGCCAAUUAUUGCUGAGAACUGUGAGAAGUACAAGAUAGAUUCAGUUGAGUUUGAAACACUUACUCUGGGUAGUUUACCGCCCACCUUUCAAGGAAUGAAAGUCUAUAUCACCGAUGAGAAAGAGUUGAUAAUGGAACCAUCUCUAAAGUGGGCUGCAAAUCCAAAUAUCACUGUUGUUGCGAAGGCCUAUGGGUUGAAAGCAACUGUCCAGAUUGUGGAUCUGCAAGUCUUCGCAUCGCCUCGUAUUACUCUGAAGCCGUUGGUGCCUACAUUUCCUUGCUUUGCUAAUAUCAGUGUUUCUCUCAUGGAGAAGCCACAUGUUGAUUUUGGGCUCAAACUAUUCGGAGCAGAUUUAAUGGCUAUUCCUGUUCUUUACAAAUUCGUUCAGGACACCAUUAAGAAGCAAGUUGGGAACAUGUAUCUGUGGCCAAAGACACUAGAAGUCCCUAUAAUGGAUCCCUCAAAAGCAUCAAAGAGGCCUGUUGGAAUUCUACUUGUGAAGGUUGUAAGAGCUCAAAAUCUGAAAAAGAAGGAUCUGCUGGGUAAAUCAGAUCCAUACGCGAAACUUAAGAUGACAGAUGACAAGCUUCCAUCCAAGAAAACAUCAGUGAAGCGCAGCAAUCUCAAUCCGGAGUGGAAUGAAGAUUUCAAAUUUGUCGUGACAGAUCCAGAAAACCAGUCGCUGGAAGUUGAUGUCUUUGACUGGGAACAGGUUGGGAAACAUGAAAAGAUGGGCAUGAACAUGGUUCUGUUGAAAGAACUUCCCCCAGAGGAGACUAAAGUGUUGACUCUUAACUUGCUGAAGACCAUGGAUCCAAAUGAUAUACAAAAUGAGAAAUCUCGUGGUCAGAUUAUUUUGGAGGCGACAUAUAAGCCUUUCAAGGAAGAAGAUAUGGAGAAAGAAAACGUGGAUGGUGCUGAUGAAGUGCAGAAAGCUCCAGACAAUACUCCAGCUGGUGGUGGGCUGCUUUUUGUUGUUGUUCACGAAGCUCAAGAUCUUGAAGGGAAGCAUCACACAAACCCAUACGCAAAGAUAAUCUUUAAAGGAGAAGAGAAGAAAACAAAGGUGAUCAAGAAGAACAGGGAUCCACGAUGGGAGGAUGAGUUUGAGUUUGUUUGUGAGGAACCACCUACAAAUGAUAAAUUGCAUGUUGAAGUCCUAAGUAAAGCUGGAAAGAAAGGAAUAUUGCAUGGCAAGGUACGGUAUUCUACAAGAAAUGCUUGGCCCUUAAUUGGUCUGGAAGCCUUGGGCUACAUUGAUAUAUCCCUGGCAGACGUGAUCAGCAACAAGCGGAUUAACGAGAAGUUCCAUCUCAUUGACUCGAAAAAUGGGCAGAUUCAAAUCGAGUUGCAGUGGAGAACUUCAUAG